UGUUCAAGUAGAUUAAAAACUAAAUCGUAUCCCUGAAGAAGAUAAAAAAACUUUUAUGUUUUUGAACAU
Molecule: transfer RNA, 69 nt
Filed under: Codonobdella sp. IK-2021
Lineage: Eukaryota; Metazoa; Annelida; Clitellata; Hirudinida; Piscicolidae
Also listed under: 1 other name
Description: tRNA-Phe
Source: RNAcentral